This 28-nucleotide small RNA is filed under the name Bombyx mori (domestic silkworm). RNAcentral describes it as "ovarian small RNA-30872". The record is from RNAcentral. Lineage: Eukaryota; Metazoa; Arthropoda; Insecta; Lepidoptera; Bombycidae.
UGAAGAACUGUCCAGGUAAGCGGAGAGG